Molecule: long non-coding RNA, 372 nt
Filed under: Serinus canaria (Common canary)
Lineage: Eukaryota; Metazoa; Chordata; Aves; Passeriformes; Fringillidae
Description: lncRNA (ENSSCAG00000008271.1)
Source: RNAcentral
AUGAGCAGUUUCAGCUCUCUCCUGUUGGAAUUUGACCUGCAGUACUUGGAAAAAAAAAAUCAAACAGAAAAAAGAAAACCUUGGGAAUUAUAUUCUCUUCGGCAAAAUGUCGUGGAACAAGGCUAUGGAGCACGUCUUUCCUUCUGGAUGCUCUCAGCAAUGUUGGGAAUGUCUUCGGAGUUGGGAUUUGGACCUGGACCCCCCGCCACCCCUUGGGCGUGUACAUCAGGCUAUGGGAGACGUGCCUUAAUCUCUGGCUCAGAGCCUUGUCAAAUGCUGCAGUACAGAACUGGCAAGCUCAAUGCUGCUAAUGGAUUGAAACCUCCACCAGGUUGUUCAUUUCUAGAGGCAGGCUUAUGGCCAUACCACUAA